CUCCAGACUCCUACGGGAGGCAGCAGUGGGGAAUAUUGCACAAUGGGGGAAACCCUGAUGCAGCGACGCCGCGUGAGCGAUGAAGUAUUUCGGUAUGUAAAGCUCUAUCAGCAGGGAAGAAAAUGACGGUACCUGACUAAGAAGCCCCGGCUAACUACGUGCCAGCAGCCGCGGUAAUACGUAGGGGGCAAGCGUUAUCCGGAUUUACUGGGUGUAAAGGGGGCGCAGACGGCAGCGCAAGCCAGGAGUGAAAGCCCGGGGCCCAACCCCGGGACUGCUCUUGGAACUGCGCGGCUGGAGUGCAGGAGGGGCAGGCGGAAUUCCUGGUGUAGCGGUGAAAUGCGUAGAUAUCAGGAGGAACACCGGUGGCGAAGGCGGCCUGCUGGACUGCGACUGACGUUGAGGCCCGAAAGCGUGGGGAGCAAACAGGAUUAGAUACCCUCGUAC
RNAcentral lists this ribosomal RNA (447 nucleotides) under uncultured bacterium. RNAcentral describes it as "partial 16S ribosomal RNA". It matches the Rfam family "Bacterial small subunit ribosomal RNA", at positions 329 to 793 of the family's 1533-position model. The record is from RNAcentral.